GAUGAACGCUGGCGGCGUGCCUAAUACAUGCAAGUCGAGCGAACAGACGAGGAGCUUGCUCCUCUGACGUUAGCGGCGGACGGGUGAGUAACACGUGGAUAACCUACCUAUAAGACUGGGAUAACUUCGGGAAACCGGAGCUAAUACCGGAUAAUAUAUUGAACCGCAUGGUUCAAUAGUGAAAGACGGUUUUGCUGUCACUUAUAGAUGGAUCCGCGCCGCAUUAGCUAGUUGGUAAGGUAACGGCUUACCAAGGCGCCGAUGCGUAGCCGACCUGAGAGGGUGAUCGGCCACACUGGAACUGAGACACGGUCCAGACUCCUACGGGAGGCAGCAGUAGGGAAUCUUCCGCAAUGGGCGAAAGCCUGAUGGAGCAGCGCCGCGUGAGUGAUGAAGGUCUUCGGAUCGUAAAACUCUGUUAUUAGGGAAGAACAAAUGUGUAAGUAACUAUGCACGUCUUGACGGUACCUAAUCAGAAAGCCACGGCUAACUACGUG
Molecule: ribosomal RNA, 497 nt
Filed under: uncultured bacterium
Lineage: Bacteria
Description: partial 16S ribosomal RNA
Rfam family: Bacterial small subunit ribosomal RNA
Source: RNAcentral